UCGAGUUUAUAUGUAGUGCUGAGGGCGGCUGCGGCUAUGGAUGGCGGCGGCCGCGAGGACAAGUACGAUGACGGUGGGACUGCUGCGAGUUGAAGAGGAAAGAGGAGGAGGAGGAAAAAAAGAGGAAGAAGAAGAGAAAGAGAAAUAGUAUAAAAUUCACCCAAAGAGUGUAAUUUUUACGUAAAUAGUAUAACUCUUAUCUCAAAAAAUAUAAUUUCUGUCUUAAAGAGUACAACUUUCAUUUAAAAUAGUGCGAAAUAUUUUUAAAACAAUAUAACUUUAUUUUAACAAUGCAAUUUUAUCUUCUUCUUU
RNAcentral lists this long non-coding RNA (312 nucleotides) under Ananas comosus (pineapple). RNAcentral describes it as "long non-coding RNA (ACOM_LNC020317)". The record is from RNAcentral. Lineage: Eukaryota; Viridiplantae; Streptophyta; Magnoliopsida; Poales; Bromeliaceae.